Molecule: ribosomal RNA, 473 nt
Filed under: uncultured Rhodocyclaceae bacterium
Lineage: Bacteria; Pseudomonadati; Pseudomonadota; Betaproteobacteria; Rhodocyclales; Rhodocyclaceae
Description: bacterial SSU rRNA
Rfam family: Bacterial small subunit ribosomal RNA
Source: RNAcentral
AAUUGACGGGACCGCACAAGCGGUGGAUGAUGUGGAUUAAUUCGAUGCAACGCGAAAACCUUACCUACCCUUGACAUGUCCGGAAUCCCGAAGAGAUUUGGGAGUGCUCGCAAGAGAACCGGAACACAGGUGCUGCAUGGCUGUCGUCAGCUCGUGUCGUGAGAUGUUGGGUUAAGUCCCGCAACGAGCGCAACCCUUGUCAUUAGUUGCCAUCAUUUGGUUGGGCACUCUAAUGAGACUGCCGGUGACAAACCGGAGGAAAGGUGGGGAUGACGUCAAGUCCUCAUGGCCCUUAUGGGUAGGGCUUCACACGUCAUACAAUGGUCGGUACAGAGGGUUGCCAACCCGCGAGGGGGAGCUAAUCCCACAAAGCCGAUCGUAGUCCGGAUCGCAGUCUGCAACUCGACUGCGUGAAGUCGGAAUCGCUAGUAAUCGUGGAUCAGCAUGUCACGGUGAAUACGUUCCCGGGUCUU